RNAcentral lists this ribosomal RNA (253 nucleotides) under uncultured bacterium. RNAcentral's name for it is "partial 16S ribosomal RNA". It matches the Rfam family "Bacterial small subunit ribosomal RNA", at positions 524 to 776 of the family's 1533-position model. The record is from RNAcentral.
UACGUAGGGUGCAAGCGUUAAUCGGAAUUACUGGGCGUAAAGAGUACGCAGGCGGCUUUGCAAGACAGGUGUGAAAUCCCCGGGCCUAACCUGGUAACUGCAUUUGUGACUGCAUGGCUAGAGUUUGUCAGAGGGGGGUGGAAUUCCACGUGUAGCAGUGAAAUGCGUAGAGAUGUGGAAGAACACCGAUGGCGGAGGCAGCCCCCUGGGAUGAGACUGACGCUCAUGUACGAAAGCGUGGGGAGCAAACAGG